CUUGUCUCUGCCAUCUCUCUAAUUUCUCAAAAAACCUUAUCUUUCUUUCUCAGUCAUUUAUGACAUCAAUGGCUAUCAAACGACGGCGUUUAUCUGACUUCCUCAGCCGACGUCGUUUUAUAUCAGGAGCCUUGAUUUCCGAGUUCAAGCCAUGGCGACGCGGAUCCCUCUGGAUUUUCAGAGUUUUCAUCCAACGGUUCAGCUUUGAUCUCUGACCCCGUCUCCCCUUCUUCCGACUGUACAUGAUUCUGCCCAACCAUCUCUUCCUCGUCUUCUUCCUCUCUCCUCAUCCGCUUCACCCCGAUCGAUACCCCGAACAGUUUCGGCGUCAUUCCUGCCGCCGCCGCUGCCGCUGCCGCUGCCGCUGCCCCUGCCCCUGCCCCUGCCCCUGCCCCUGCCCCUGCCCCUGCCCCUGCCCCUGCCC
Molecule: unclassified non-coding RNA, 424 nt
Filed under: Hevea brasiliensis (rubber tree)
Lineage: Eukaryota; Viridiplantae; Streptophyta; Magnoliopsida; Malpighiales; Euphorbiaceae
Source: RNAcentral